CCCGUCCAUGGUUCCCUCUCAUUCUCUCCCUCUGUCAUUUGACCAGCAGUGCUUCCUUGCCACUGAGGACCUGUGACUCAACAGCCGGAAUACAGCAAUGUUCUUUUGCUCACCCUCUUGAAUAUUCAUAGCAAUAAGAGGACUGAAGCUCAGACUCAUCCAUCUUGUAUCCAUCCGCAAUUACAUUGAGAGUGCCGUGUUACAAGAGAAUUCCUGAGGCGGGCCAAUGGCCCGAUAAAUCUGCUGGAGCCUCUCUCUCUCUCUCAAUUUGUCUCCAUGGAAUGUCAGCUGGCAAGUGCCCAGACACUGAGCCCUCUCCUCAACAACCUCUCCUCACAAAGCGCCAAUCUAGCAGACGAGAUCCCACGUUGGAGCUACAGUACGAGGACUGGCGUGGACAAAUUGCCACGAGCCUUAUCUCCGUCGCUUCGUGUCGGACCGUCUGAGGUCCUGCUCUCGGAAGGCCACUUUUCUCGCAGGGCCCGACAGUUAACCUAAUCGGCCGAGGCGGGUGACGAUGACAAAACGCAGGUGUCACCCAACAGGAACCCGUGAUAUGGCACAGAUGCCGUGUCAACUCGUCUCACUCCAUAUGACCCGCAGUGUGAACAGAAAUUGCUCUGUUUGGUGUCUUUCAUCACUGUGUGGCGCAGUCUCCCACAUAGCUCGGUCCAGGUGGCGGAAUGGCAGAGUGGGAGAACAGACCAUGUUUGUGUGAAGACGCAACAACUCUCUCGCUCUCUUUUCGCCUUUUUUUUUCUCUUUUCAUUCCCUCCCUCCUUCUUGUCUCCGUCUUCUUGUUCAAACACACAACUCUAGCACUCUUUGUACUCUAUUUAAAGGUUGUGGGUUAGCAAACAACACCAUGACUCCCCACCUGUAUCCCUGAACACAUCAUGAGUCAUGGAUGUACAUCUGUAUUUGUUCAUGUGCAAGAAAAAAAAGACUUCUUUCUUUUCACUUAAGACAGAAAUGCUGUAAUUUCUUAGAUGAUAAGUUCUAAUAAACAGAGUUGUAAAGUAACAAAGUACAAAUACUUUGUUACUGUACUUAAUUAAAAACUUUGGUUAUUUGUA
Long non-coding RNA from Austrofundulus limnaeus, 1076 nucleotides. RefSeq lists it as uncharacterized. Lineage: Eukaryota; Metazoa; Chordata; Actinopteri; Cyprinodontiformes; Rivulidae. The record is from RefSeq and is a predicted model, not a curated record. The transcript has 2 exons.